RNAcentral lists this ribosomal RNA (492 nucleotides) under uncultured bacterium. RNAcentral describes it as "partial 16S ribosomal RNA". It matches the Rfam family "Bacterial small subunit ribosomal RNA", at positions 29 to 507 of the family's 1533-position model. The record is from RNAcentral.
AGUGAACGCUGGCGGUAGGCCUAACACAUGCAAGUCGAACGGCAGCACAGUAAGAGCUUGCUCUUACGGGUGGCGAGUGGCGGACGGGUGAGGAAUACAUCGGAAUCUACUUUUUCGUGGGGGAUAACGUAGGGAAACUUACGCUAAUACCGCAUACGACCUACGGGUGAAAGCAGGGGAUCUUCGGACCUUGCACGAUUGAAUGAGCCGAUGUCGGAUUAGCUAGUUGGCGGGGUAAAGGCCCACCAAGGCGACGAUCCGUAGCUGGUCUGAGAGGAUGAUCAGCCACACUGGAACUGAGACACGGUCCAGACUCCUACGGGAGGCAGCAGUGGGGAGUAUUGGACAAUGGGCGCAAGCCUGAUCCAGCCAUACCGCGUGGGUGAAGAAGGCCUUCGGGUUGUAAAGCCCUUUUGUUGGGAAAGAAAAGCAGCAGGUUAAUACCCCGCUGUUCUGACGGUACCCAAAGAAUAAGCACCGGCUAACUUCGUG